GUAAAACUGGACCUCCAGGAUGCAUACCUCACGAUACUGAUCACUGAGGAAUGCCACCAUUUACUUAAAUUCCAAUGGAAAAAGACGAUAUGGCAGUUCCGAUGCCUCCCUUUCGACCUCUCCUCAGCCCCGUGGUGCCUCACCGAACUACUGAAAGUGGUAGUCCCCCUUCUCCGGAGCAGAGGUGUACGUAUGAUCAUAUACCUCGACGACAUGCUGAUCAUGGCCCACGACAUCUAUC
Molecule: non-coding RNA, 241 nt
Organism: Pelobates cultripes (western spadefoot toad)
Lineage: Eukaryota; Metazoa; Chordata; Amphibia; Anura; Pelobatidae
Source: the annotation of a GenBank genome assembly